UGGGGAAUCUUGCGCAAUGGGCGAAAGCCUGACGCAGCAACGCCGCGUGGAGGAAGAAGGCCUUCGGGUUGUAAACUCCUGUCAGGGGGAAAGAAGGCACCUGGGUUAAUAGCCCACGGGCUGACGGUACCCCCAGAGGAAGCCACGGCUAACUACGUGCCAGCAGCCGCGGUAAUACGUAGGUGGCGAGCGUUGUCCGGAAUUAUUGGGCGUAAAGAGCGCGUAGGCGGCUUGUCAGGUCCGACGUGAAAUCCCGGGGCUCAACCC
Molecule: ribosomal RNA, 267 nt
Filed under: uncultured bacterium
Lineage: Bacteria
Description: partial 16S ribosomal RNA
Rfam family: Bacterial small subunit ribosomal RNA
Source: RNAcentral